CUAUGACCAUGAUUACGCCAAGCUAUUUAGGUGACACUAUAGAAUACUCAAGCUAUGCAUCCAACGCGUUGGGAGCUCUCCCAUAUGGUCGACCUGCAGGCGGCCGCACUAGUGAUUGUAGUCAUAUGCUUGUCUCAAAGAUUAAGCCAUGCAUGUCUAAGUAUAAGCAAUUAUACCGUGAAACUGCGAAUGGCUCAUUAAAUCAGUUAUCGUUUAUUUGAUAGUACCUUACUACUUGGAUAACCGUGGUAAUUCUAGAGCUAAUACAUGCUGAAAACCCCAACUUCGGGAGGGGUGUAUUUAUUAGAUAAAAAACCAACGCCCUUCGGGGCUUCUUGGUGAUUCAUGAUAACUUCACGGAUCGCAUGGCCUUGCGCCGGCGACGGUUCAUUCAAAUUUCUGCCCUAUCAACUUUCGAUGGUAAGGUAUUGGCUUACCAUGGUUUCAACGGGUAACGGGGAAUUAGGGUUCGAUUCCGGAGAGGGAGCCUGAGAAACGGCUACCACAUCCAAGGAAGGCAGCAGGCGCGCAAAUUACCCAAUCCCGACACGGGGAGGUAGUGACAAUAAAUACUGAUACAGGGCUCUUUUGGGUCUUGUAAUUGGAAUGAGUACAAUUUAAACCUCUUAAC
This 631-nucleotide ribosomal RNA is filed under the name uncultured Ascomycota. RNAcentral's name for it is "partial 18S ribosomal RNA". The stretch from base 107 to 631 matches the Rfam family "Eukaryotic small subunit ribosomal RNA", at positions 1 to 538 of the family's 1831-position model. The record is from RNAcentral. Lineage: Eukaryota; Fungi; Ascomycota.